UUUCUCAAUGGGCGAAASCUGAAGGAGCGACGCCGCGUGGGGGAUGAAUGGCUUCGGCCCGUAAACCCCUGUCAUUUGUGAACAAAUUGCUUCACCUAACACGUGAAGCAUUGAUUGUAACGGAAGAGGAAGGGACGGCUAACUCUGUGCCAGCAGCCGCGGUAAUACAGAGGUCCCAAGCGUUGUUCGGAUUCACUGGGCGUAAAGGGUGCGUAGGCGGUUGGAUAAGUCUGAUGUGAAAUCCCGCAGCUUAACUGCGGAACUGCAUUGGAAACUAUUUGACUAGAGGAAUGGAGGGGAGACUGGAAUACUUGGUGUAGCAGUGAAAUGCGUAGAUAUCAAGUGGAACACCAGUGGCGAAGGCGAGUCUCUGGACAUUUCCUGACGCUGAGGCACGAAAGCCAGGGGAGCAAACGGGAUUAGAUACCCCGGUAGUCCUGGCCCUAAACGGUGCGCGUUUGCUGUGAGCGGAAUCGACCCCGCUCGUGGCGAASUAACGCGUUAAACGCGCCGCCUGGGAAGUACGGCCGCAAGGUUAAAACUCAAAGAAAUUGACGGGGGCCUGCACAAGCGGUGGAGUAUGUGGCUUAAUUCGAUGCAACGCGAAGAACCUUACCUGGCCUUGACAUGCAAGUAGUAGAAGCCUGAAAGGGUGACGAAUCCGCAAGGAUAGCUUGCACAGGUGCUGCAUGGCUGUCGUCAGCUCGUGUCGUGAGAUGUUGGGUUAAGUCCCGCAACGAGCGCAACCCCUGUGUCCUGUUGCCACCCCUUAAAUGGGAGCACUCUGGACAGACUGCCUCGCUUCAACGAGGAGGAAGGUGGGGAUGACGUCAAGUCAGUAUGGCCCUUACGGCCAGGGCUGCACACGUACUACAAUGCCCGGUACAAAGGGAAGCAAGACUGUAAAGUGGAGCCAAUCCCCCAAAACCGGGCCCAGUUCAGBAUUGUCGUCUGCAACUCGACGACAUGAAGCUGGAAUCGCU
Molecule: ribosomal RNA, 983 nt
Filed under: uncultured Verrucomicrobiota bacterium
Lineage: Bacteria; Pseudomonadati; Verrucomicrobiota
Description: bacterial SSU rRNA
Rfam family: Bacterial small subunit ribosomal RNA
Source: RNAcentral